CGGCAAACUCCGUGCCAGCAGCCGCGGUAAUACGGAGGGGGCAAGCGUUGUUCGGAAUUAUUGGGCGUAAAGGGCAUGUAGGCGGUUUAAUAAGUUAAAAGUGAAAUACCCGGGCUCAACUCUGGAGCUGCUUUUAAUACUAUUUAAACUAGAGAUCGAGAGAGGAUAGUGGAAUUCCUAGUGUAGAGGUGAAAUUCGUAGAUAUUAGGAGGAACACCAGUGGCGAAGGCGACUAUCUGGCUCAGUUCUGACGCUGAGGUGCGAAAGCGUGGGGAGCAAACAGGAUUAAAUACCCUGGUAGUCCAC
RNAcentral lists this ribosomal RNA (306 nucleotides) under Neoehrlichia mikurensis. RNAcentral's name for it is "bacterial SSU rRNA". It matches the Rfam family "Bacterial small subunit ribosomal RNA", at positions 494 to 798 of the family's 1533-position model. Lineage: Bacteria; Pseudomonadati; Pseudomonadota; Alphaproteobacteria; Rickettsiales; Anaplasmataceae. The record is from RNAcentral.